This 495-nucleotide ribosomal RNA is filed under the name uncultured beta proteobacterium. Its description in RNAcentral is "bacterial SSU rRNA". It matches the Rfam family "Bacterial small subunit ribosomal RNA", at positions 903 to 1400 of the family's 1533-position model. Lineage: Bacteria; Pseudomonadati; Pseudomonadota; Betaproteobacteria. The record is from RNAcentral.
AAAUGAAUUGACGGGGGCCCGCACAAGCGGUGGAGCAUGUGGUUUAAUUCGAUGCAACGCGAAGAACCUUACCAUCCCUUGACAUCCAGAGAAGAGACUAGAGAUAGACUUGUGCCUUCGGGAACUCUGUGACAGGUGCUGCAUGGCUGUCGUCAGCUCGUGUUGUGAAAUGUUGGGUUAAGUCCCGCAACGAGCGCAACCCUUGCCAUUAGUUGCUACAUUCAGUUGAGCACUCUAAUGGGACUGCCGGUGACAAACCGGAGGAAGGUGGGGAUGACGUCAAGUCCUCAUGGCCCUUAUAGGUGGGGCUACACACGUCAUACAAUGGCAAGUACAGAGGGCAGCAAUACCGCGAGGUGGAGCGAAUCCCACAAAGCUUGUCGUAGUCCGGAUUGGAGUCUGCAACUCGCCUCCAUGAAGUCGGAAUCGCUAGUAAUCGUAGAUCAGAAUGCUACGGUGUAAACGUUCCCGGGCCUUGUACACACCGCCCGUCAC